GGUCAAGCUCCAGAGGUUACUGGAUCACCAACUGAAAAGGCUAUACUCUCUUGGGGGUUGCAGUGAAACAAGAUCGAAAUCCUCCAUUCUUCAAGUCUUCCCAUUCAAUUCAGAGAAAAAGCGAGGCGGGGUUGCUGUGCAA
Hordeum vulgare subsp. vulgare (domesticated barley) is the source of this 142-nucleotide long non-coding RNA. RefSeq lists it as uncharacterized. Lineage: Eukaryota; Viridiplantae; Streptophyta; Magnoliopsida; Poales; Poaceae. The transcript has 2 exons. The record is from RefSeq and is a predicted model, not a curated record.